RNAcentral lists this ribosomal RNA (393 nucleotides) under uncultured bacterium. RNAcentral's name for it is "partial 16S ribosomal RNA". It matches the Rfam family "Bacterial small subunit ribosomal RNA", at positions 523 to 918 of the family's 1533-position model. The record is from RNAcentral.
AUACGGAGGAUCCGAGCGUUAUCCGGAUUUAUUGGGUUUAAAGGGAGCGUAGGUGGAUUGUUAAGUCAGUUGUGAAAGUUUGCGGCUCAACCGUAAAAUUGCAGUUGAAACUGGCAGUCUUGAGUACCGUAGAGGUGGGCGGAAUUCGUGGUGUAGCGGUGAAAUGCUUAGAUAUCACGAAGAACUCCGAUUGCGAAGGCAGCUCACUAGACUGUUACUGACACUGAUGCUCGUAAGUGUGGGUAUCAAACAGGAUUAGAUACCCUGGUAGUCCACACAGUAAACGAUGAAUACUCGCUGUUUGCGAUAUACAGUAAGCGGCCAAGCGAAAGCAUUAAGUAUUCCACCUGGGGAGUACGCCGGCAACGGUGAAACUCAAAGGAAUUGACGGGG